Molecule: ribosomal RNA, 252 nt
Filed under: uncultured bacterium
Lineage: Bacteria
Description: partial 16S ribosomal RNA
Rfam family: Bacterial small subunit ribosomal RNA
Source: RNAcentral
UACGUAGGUGGCGAGCGUUAUCCGGAUUUAUUGGGCGUAAAGCGUGCGCAGACGGAUUAUUAAGUCUAUGAUUAAAGCCUGGAGCUUAACUCCAGUUCGUUAUAGAUACUGAUAGUCUAGAGUGUAGUAGAGGCAAAUGGAAUUUCUAGUGUAGCGGUAAAAUGCGUAGAUAUUAGAAGGAACACCAGUGGCGAAGGCGAUUUGCUGGGCUAUUACUGACGUUCAUGCACGAAAGCGUGGGGAGCAAAUAGG